UACGUAGGUGGCAAGCGUUGUCCGGAUUUACUGGGCGUAAAGGGCGUGCAGGCGGUUUGUUAAGUGCAGGGUGAAAGCUCCCGGCUCAACUGGGAGAGGUCCUUGCAUACUGGCAGACUUGAGGGAGGCAGAGGAAAGUGGAAUUCCCGGUGUAGUGGUGAAAUGCGCAGAUAUUGGGAAGAACACCAGUGGCGAAGGCGGUUCUCUGGGACGGUACUGACGCUGAGACGCGAAAGCGUGGGGAGCGAACAGG
RNAcentral lists this ribosomal RNA (253 nucleotides) under uncultured bacterium. RNAcentral describes it as "partial 16S ribosomal RNA". It matches the Rfam family "Bacterial small subunit ribosomal RNA", at positions 524 to 776 of the family's 1533-position model. The record is from RNAcentral.